This 6645-nucleotide long non-coding RNA is filed under the name Homo sapiens (human). Its description in RNAcentral is "non-protein coding GAS1RR:12". The record is from RNAcentral. Lineage: Eukaryota; Metazoa; Chordata; Mammalia; Primates; Hominidae.
UAGUUUUAUUAAUUCUCGCUGGCCCCCAUCUGUGCUUUCGACUGGAUUCAGAACUCAGUUUAUCUUCCAGGCUCCCUGUCUUUGGGUCUUGAUCACCACAGAGGGGAAGGGGAGAAUCCAGAGAUAAAAUGUGAGACUGAAACUGUUUUAAAGAAGCAUACAAGAAAGAAGCACACACUUUAUUAGGGAGAUGUUGAUGAGAUGCUUACAACCCGCCCGCCACCCCCCAGCCCCAGCUAGGCCAUCUGGCAGGUACCGCCCGUGCGCCAGGCAUCGUUUUCAAAUUGCAAGACCGAAAUCCAAUCAACCGAAAUAAUUUCUUAGGAAGAUAAGCUUGCAACACGUGCAAUAAUGAAAAAAUUUAACUAGCAUUAAAAAUAUUCAGGAAUGUCGAGCAAUUACCACCUGGCCGCAGUCACAGGACAGAAGACGGAAUAAAUGGGCACGCACCAAAGGUUUAUAUUAAAGUGUAAGUUUCAGCCCCUCAGUAUAUUUAAGGGAGGCUGCUCUGCAGAGGAAACCUCUGCCUUCUCGGCGAGGGAGUUUCCGAGCUACCUUAACUGGGGCGCAACGCAGCCUUCCGCCACCAGAGGCAGCGGGCGUCUGCGGCCUGUCAAAAACUGGCGCUUUUUUCCUCCCCUUUCCGUGGAGAGACUAUCAACUCCAUCUGUCACAAAAAUUAAGGCUAAAUCUCCUCUCCAGAAGCAGAGGGAGCCGGGGCUCCGACGCGCUCAGCGUCGGGCUGUCUGCCUCUCCCUAGAGGCCAAGUGAAUUUGAAAUGGCAAAAGUCACAGCCGGAGGCCCAGCACUAGGAGAUUCCUCCGGCUGCGGGAAAUCUUCCUGUACCUGCUGAAGCUGCUGCGUUCCUCAGAGGCGCUUGGUCUGCCGUGGGAAGCUGCACCUCUGCAGUCCCCAAAACCAAAAUCAAACCUUAAAAGAGCCAGACUGAGAAGCCAGUCACCACGUAAGACAUCUGGACCACCUUCAGACUCGCAUGCUGUGAGGAAGCCCAUGCUUACUAUGUGUAGAGGAUACAUGGAGAAGGAAAGAGAUGCCUGGCCAGCUCCCUGCUGUUUCAGCCAUGUGAGUGAAGAAGGCACCAGACUUGUGAGUGGAGACACUAACUUGGAUGUCCAGCCCAGCUGAACCUUCAGGUGACUCCAGCUCUAGCUGCCAUCCUACUGAAGACACAUGAGAGAGACCCCAAGCCAGGGUCAAGAUCAGCGUGAAGCAAGUGAGGCAUUUUGGUGCAAAAUGUAAGGAGGCAUUGACCUUCAUAAUUGGGCUCCAAGACUCCAAGAGUGAGUGCCUCCUUAAAUUUUGUACUUUAGACACUACACUCACCUUUCUCUAGUUCUGGUCUUGCCUCAAGCAAGAAGAGCAGAGCUUAGCUCAGUCAACCCAAAGAAUCCUGAGAAAUAACAAAAAAAUAUUCUUUUAAGCCACUCAGUUUUGAGAUGGUUUGUUAUGCAACAAUAGAGCAUUAGAACUUUUCUUCCUGUCCAAUUGCUUAGGUGAAAGAUGCUAGUAUCUGCCUGAAUUCUUUCCUUUUCUUCACAUUCUACAUUCAAUUAAUGGCUCAUCAUAGGUGUCAAUAAAAUAUUUGAUAAGUUGAAUGAAUGAAGAAUCAGCACUUCUUGUCUUCUAAAUCAGCCAACUCAGAACUAGUCCAAAUCAUUUCUACUACAAAGAACAGUAAUAAAGACCCUGAGAGAUUAAAGAAUACAGAAUAGUUCUGAAGUUUUAAAAUAUAAAAUUAUAUUUCCAAAAGGGUUGACUGGUUCAGUGAAAGAACAAAAACCUCAAUCAACAAAUACCAAUUACCUUUUGGUGCUUUAGCAACAUAACCCAGAUAAAGUAGGAGGAGAUAGACUUCUGCCCUCAGAGGACUCAACAAUAUGUCACUUGGCCAUUUGGAGUUGUCAGAGGCUCUAACCACUUAGCAGAAGUCUUAAGUCACAGACACCCUGUAUUAGUGUGUUCUCACACUACUAUAAAGACUGGGUAAUUUAUUUAAAAAAUAGGUUUAAUCUGCUCAUGGUUCAGAAGGCUUUAUAGGCUUCUGCCUCUGGGGAGGCCUCAGGAAGCUUACAAUCAUGGCUGAAGGCAAGUGGAAGCAAGCACUUCUUCACAUGGCUGGCAGGAGAGAGAGAGCAAAGGAGAGGGGUGCUACACAUUUUCAAACAGCCAGAUCUUUUGAGAACUCACUCUCACAAGAACAGUAUGGGGGAACUCCCUCCAUCCCUUCCCCAUGAUCCAAUCACCUCCCACCAGGUCCCUCCUCCAACACUGGAGAUUAUAAUUCAACAUGAGAUUUAGGUGGGGACACAGAGCCAAACCAUAUCACAUUCACUCUCUUGUUUUCUUUAUUUACUUGCAUUCUUAAAACCAGAAAAUAUUAAUACUUCAGUUUGUGGCAGAUACUGCAUGGAAACCAAGCACCAUCUACUCUAGAAUUCUACAUUAGACUUUGUAUCCUGAAGGUUUACCUCAUUCUUCACAAAAGUCUUCCCUUUGUCUGUUGCCUUCUUAAGAAGAAUUAAUUCUUGGGAACAAGAUAGAAGGAUGGGAACCUCAUGUAGAAGGAAAUCCCUUUCAUGCACAGUAAAGCAGGGUCAUUCUCCCAGCUAAUGAUCUGGAGCCUCCUCCUGAACCCCAGCUUUGCUUAUAUCUUCGGCAAGGACCAUCUUCGCAUCUUUGAGCCCUAUUAAUUCCAUCUAAGAAAAAUGUUGUUCACAUUCACCCUCCCUGUCUUCUCAUGUCCUGGUUUCUUCAAGGUUUUCUUCAUUGCUGAAUACCAGGUCUUUCCCAACUCUCCUCCAAACCAGGGAUUGUAAACCAGAGAAGCAUCUCUAAAGGACUCGGGAGCUUUUUCAAAAUACAUAUGCCUGUGCCAACUUCAUUACACUUGAAUUCUUCCCCAGGGGCCAAGGAAUGUGUACUAUGGAAAAAAACAAACACACACACAAUGGCAUAUUUCUGCCUCAACCACUCAACAUCAGUGGUUGCUAGAUUUUGAGAUUUCAAAGAUCCGUUUAUUUUCAAAAAAAAUCUGGAAUAUCUUUUAAAAAAAGAUGCCAACUUUUUAUUUUAUCAAGCAUUAACAAACAAACAAACCUACUACUACCAUCUGUUAACACCAGUGUCUUAUUAAAUAAAGAGGAUUUGAAACCCCAAAGGCAGAGAAAGAAUAACCAGAGAAUACAGGCAGAGGUGCUGAGCAGCUAAUUGGAGGGGAUAGUAUGAGCCUCCAAAGAUUAGGGAAGAAAAUUGCAGUUGAAGAAAACUUGCUUUGGUUCAAUGCAAAAAUAAUGGGAUGAAUGGCAUGCUGAAAUAUCAUAUGACUUACGAAAAUGAUGAAUGUGAUUCCCAAACUCAAUAAGAGGAGAAAUGAUGACAAGAAGCAAAGGCCGUCUACAGCCCUCACGUUAGGUUUAUUGAAUCUACAUAUGUGGAACCCAUGAAUGGGAGUCGGAGAAGGGGGCAACUGUAUACGCAAAAAGCUAUCAUAAUUGCCAAAAUAGUGAUAACAAUGUUGAAACACUACUGGGAUUACUACUGUUAAUGACUACCAGUGAUCAAGCACCUCCCCUGCCCCAGUGUUUGCCUGCCUUGUUUGAAGACACGAAAAAAUGUACACAAAAUGAUUUAGAACUGUUGAACUUUUCAGAAAAUAAUUUAAAAUCAUCUACCUCAUAACUAAAGCAGGUUGAUCCUGAGAUCUUGUUCCCGAUCUUCCAUUUUUGCAAAGACUGAAGGUUCAAUCUAUUUUUUAGACCAUUAUUUUUGUUCUGUCAUACCUCAGGGUCGGAACUGCAACUUGCUCCGGAGGGCACGGGCUCCGUAGUCACCAACUGCAAGGCCCCCUCCCCCUGCGGGCGCUCCCCUGGCACAAUUCGCGUUCGAGAGUGACCUGCACUCGCUGCUUCAACUGGAUGCACCCAUCCCCAAUGCACCCCCUGCUCGCUGGCAGCGCAAAGCCAAGAAAGCCACAGGCCCGGCCCCCUCACCCAUGCGGGCCGCCAACCGAUCCCACAGCGCCAGCAGGACUCCGGGCCGAACUCCUGGCAAAUCCAGUUCCAAGGUUCAGACCACUCCUAGCAAACCUGGCGGUGACCGCUAUAUCCCCCAUCGCAGUGCUGCCCAGAUGGAGGUUGCCAGCUUCCUCCUGAGCAAGGAGAACCAGCCUGAAAACAGCCAGACGCCCACCAAGAAGGAACAUCAGAAAGCCUGGACUUUGAACCUGAACGGUUUUGAUGUAGAGGAAGCCAAGAUCCUUCGGCUCAGUGGAAAACCACAAAAUGCGCCAGAGGGUUACCAGAACAGACUGAAAGUACUCUACAGCCAAAAGGCCACUCCUGGCUCCAGCCGGAAGACCUACCAUUACAUUCCUUCCCUGCCAGACCAUAACCUGGAUGCCCCUGAAAUCCGAAAUGACUACUACCUGAAUCUUGUGGACUGGAGCUCUGGGAAUGUAUUGGCCGUGGCGCUGGACAACAGUGUGUACCUGUGGAGCGCAAGCUCUGGUGACAUCCUGCAGCUUUUGCAAAUGGAGCAGACUGGGAAAUAUGUAUCCUCUGCGGCCUGGAUCAAAGAGGGCAACUACUUGGCUGUGGGCAUCAGCAGUGCUGAGGUGCAGCUUUGGGAUGUGCAGCAGCAGAAACGGCUUCGAAAUAUGACCAUUCACUCUGCCCGAGUGGGCUCCCUAAGCUGGAACAGCUAUAUCCUAUCCAGUGGUUCACAUUCUGGCCACAUCCACCACCAUGAUGUUCGGGUAGCAGAACACCACGUGGCCACACUGAGUGGCCACAGCCAGGAAGUGUGUGGGCUGCGCUGGGUCCCAGAUGGACGACAUUUGGCCAGUGGUGGCAAUGAUAACUUGGUCAAAGUGUGGCCUAGUGCUCUUGGAGAGGGUGGCUGGGUUCCUCUGCAGACAUUCACCCUUCAAGGGGCUGUCAAGGCCGUAGCAUGGUGUCCCUGGAAGUCCAAUGUCCCGGCAACAGGAGGGGGCACCAGUGAUCGACACAUUUGCAUCUGGAACGUGUGCUCUGGGGCCUGUCUGAGUGCCGUGGAUGCCCUUUCCCAGGUGUGCUCCACCCUCUGGUCUCCCCACUACAAGGAGCUCAUCUCAGGCCAUGGCUUUGCACAGAACCAGCUGGUUAUUUGGAAGUACCCAACCAUGGCCAAGGUGGCUGAACUCAAAGGUCACACAUCCCGGGUCCUGACUCUGACCAUGAGCCCAGAUGGGGCCACAGUGGCAUCUGCAGCAGCAGAUGAGACCCCGAGGCUAUGGCACUGUUUUGAGUUGGACCCUGUGUGGCGGCGGGAGCGGGAGAAGGCCAGUGCAGCCAAAAGCAGCUUCAUCCACCAAGGCAUCCGCUGAAGACCAACCCCUCGCCUCAGUUGUUUUUUAUUUUUCUAAUAAAGUCAUGUCUCCCUUCAAAAAAAAAAAAAACAAAACUGCUGUGUAAUUACAGAAUUGUAUUCAAUCCUGUUUUAAUAAAUAAGAGACAAUUUACAAUAACUCACUUGCAGCAACGUGCUUUGAAUCAUUUCAGAGAAGAAGGACAGAAGAGAUUGGUUGACACCACAGUGUGAUUAAAAAAAUAGGAGUCAGUGGUAUUUAUGAAAUGAAUAAAUAAAGCACAUGCCCACCCCCAUUAACCCACUGCAUGGUCAAGUUCUUAGGGAGGUGAUGAGGCAACCUCUCCAAUAUUCCCAUUAUAGAGCUCCACUAACAUUCUGCUUGGUGAUGACAAAGUUGCAUUUAGAUUGGUUGAUAGUUGGUAUUGAGCCCAAAACCAGGGUUGAAGUUGUUCCAGGGAGAGGCUGGAUUGAGGCACAAUGUACAGCUAACGUUAACCUCCUCCUGACUUGACCACCCCAGCAGAAGGGCCUUGACACAAACCCGGUGUAUCUGCUGAGUGGGCAAAUACAAGGAGCGAUCCAGGCUGUAGUUGCAUGGCCUGAGCAGCAAUGCAAGGAGGACCUUCCUUUUGCCUUUAAGCCUCCUCUUCCAGAGAAACUUCUACCAGUGACCUGGCAGUGAGACUUGUGUUUCAUGUAGUGAUGAAUGUUUUAGACCUCCAGACUCUUGUUCUACUGAAGAACCUCCCUCCAGGGUCCUGCGUUGAACUGGCCUUGCUGCAGACUUCCUGAGUUUGUCAGCAGUAAAGGUAACAGUACCCAGAAUGGAGCAUUCUAGCCAAUGGUUAAAAGUCCUGGUAUUUUCUCCACAAAGUGAUGAUAAGAAAGGGGGUUGACCCCUCAGUCAUAUCAAAAAUGUUUAGAGGUCACUGGGUAGACAUGAAAGACAACCUGUUGAAAAUUUAGAUGGAGGUCUGGAGUCAUCAUACAAGCAGAGGAAAAAGACUGAAAAGAAAUAAUGUCAGAAUGUUAAUGAUAUGGUGAUGUUAGAGGUGAUUUUAGUUUUUUUCUUUGUGCUUUUCAGUGUGAAUUCUCUAAAAUGAGCAUUUUUUAAACAAGAAAAAAAUGUUAAAAUAGGCACCAAAAACCUGAAUACAAUAAAAUACUUUUAAAUAAGUUCACACUCAUAUCUAGAAACUCUAAGCAAAUCUAGGUUGCCAACAGUCACAAAAGGUAAUUCUAUUUAGGUUAAAAAUGUGAGCUACGACUAUCUCCCUU